AGAGACAGCAGCAGCCACGGGAAUACAGAGGGUGCGAGCGUUAAUCGGAUUUACUGGGCGUAAAGCGUGCGUAGGCGGCUUUUUAAGUCGGAUGUGAAAUCCCUGAGCUUAACUUAGGAAUUGCAUUCGAUACUGGGAAGCUAGAGUAUGGGAGAGGAUGGUAGAAUUCCAGGUGUAGCGGUGAAAUGCGUAGAGAUCUGGAGGAAUACCGAUGGCGAAGGCAGCCAUCUGGCCUAAUACUGACGCUGAGGUACGAAAGCAUGGGGAGCAAACAGGAUUAGAUACCCGAGUAGUCCCUGUCUCUUAUAC
RNAcentral lists this ribosomal RNA (309 nucleotides) under uncultured bacterium. Its description in RNAcentral is "partial 16S ribosomal RNA". It matches the Rfam family "Bacterial small subunit ribosomal RNA", at positions 504 to 807 of the family's 1533-position model. The record is from RNAcentral.